GACAGAGGGUGCAAACGUUGUUCGGAAUUACUGGGCGUAAAGCGCGUGUAGGCGGUCUCGCAAGUCGGAUGUGAAAGCCCAGGGCUCAACCCUGGAAGUGCACUCGAUACUGCGAGGCUAGAGUCCCGGAGAGGAUGGUGGAACUCUCGGUGUAGAGGUGAAAUUCGUAGAUAUCGAGAAGAACACCGGUGGCGAAGGCGGCCAUCUGGACGGUGACUGACGCUGAGACGCGAAAGCGUGGGGAGCAAACAGGAU
Molecule: ribosomal RNA, 255 nt
Filed under: uncultured bacterium
Lineage: Bacteria
Description: partial 16S ribosomal RNA
Rfam family: Bacterial small subunit ribosomal RNA
Source: RNAcentral